Long non-coding RNA from Magallana angulata, 2341 nucleotides. RefSeq lists it as uncharacterized. Lineage: Eukaryota; Metazoa; Mollusca; Bivalvia; Ostreida; Ostreidae. The record is from RefSeq and is a predicted model, not a curated record. The transcript is spliced from 7 exons.
UUGAUAAACAAGUUUACAACUUAAAUUUAUAUCUCUCGUUGGCACAGAUAUUAGCGCGAGGGGGUCGUUGGUGUGGGAAGAAACCGAAGUACCUGGAGGGAACCCACGUGUCCAAGCGGGCGACCGCCAUACCCUAUCAUAUACAACCAUUGUCGAUCACGGGUGUCGAACUCGGGUCACAGCGACCAAGUACUUUGGAUUAUCAUGUCAAGUUAGACAAAAACCAUGGAACGUAAAAAGAUGUGUAUCAUUUUUGGCACAUUAAUAUAUCUACAGACAAUACUUAGUGCGAUCGGUGGGAUUAAAUGUUUAUGGUCAAGUCAAACAUUACGAACAGUUACGUCUUGUCCCGAAAACACGGAUGAAAUGAAUGUCAGAGACAGAAAGAAAAAUUGUGAUUCAAUAGCUCGCGAACAAAACUGUACAAAGCCUGAAAAAUUCAAGUACCACUGUGUCAUGAAUGCGCUGGAAAACGCAUUCAUUGAAGUUUAUGCACCCGAAUAUCGAAUACAUGGGUAUUGUACAGAGUAUAAUGAAGUUGGUACUGUCAUACAGGAACAUUACAAUCGAAAAUGUGCUGACGUAUCACCUCCCUGUGCAUCGACAUAUUUGUCUACAGAAUCGUACCAUUUUAAAGGCUGCUACAAAGUUGUGAAAAAUAAAAACUUCAAGUCGUCUACAAAGUUGAGUUUGCUUAUUCAAAGCACACCAGGGUACACCAACUAUACGUUCCUCUAUUUCACCAGCUGCAAACCCUGCAUGCAUCUUGCACCAAUGCUAUACCUGUUUACAUUAUCAGUCAGUGUAAGGGGCAUUUAGUGCGACUGAUUUUGAAGGAAAUAACACACAACUUCCAUGUAAGACACUUACGAAAAUCUGUGGUUUCAUUGUUGACAAAAUUAUAAUCGAUGCCUGUAGGACGAUAAGAGACUAGUGGUUAGGAAAAUCGACUUCAAAUUUUAAAACACUCAACUGCUUUGCUCCAUAGUCUGCACCAGAAACAACGUUGGAUUGAUAGUAACAACUUAUUGUAAAGUUGAGAUAAACUAUAUAGCAUGUGUAAUUACCCAUUUAUUUCAAUCGAUAUUAUUUGUUCGUUGCUUGGGUGUACAGCAUGUUGAGUUUUCUGUGAAAAAUGUGAACGUUAUAAUUAUGUGUCAUUAUGCAGAGUAAAUCGGCAGUUUUGAAUAACUAGAAGAGACAUGAUAGGUAUUUAUUUACUUUCUGUGCUAGACUUGUUAAUAAUUUUAAAAUUAGUUAUCUCGAAAAUUUGAAGAAAAAAAGAUUUUGAGGCCAAACCUAUUCUAAUGAUCGGGUUCGGUAGCAAGAUCGCUGUGUAUUGAAGAAACGAGGCCAGUAUACAUCCAGUUCUACAUGUAAUAUCAUGCACUACUUGUAUCAUUACCUUUAUCAUUUCUAGCAAACAUAUAAGAUCUGUAAAAUAGUGUAAAGUAUUGUGUUGUAUAAUAUAUCGGCAAUUUUUUAUUGUAUUAUUACAAUCGGGUUCGUUAUAGGGUUUUUGCUGUUAAAUAGUAGAGAACCAGUUAGACUGUUUGGUUUGAUUUGAGGUAACAAAUGGUCUCAAAAUUUCGGCAUUACCAAUCAAAGGGGUUACCGAGAGAAGACUUGGAUUGCUUAUGAAAUACUCUUAGAAUGCUUGUAAUUAGAAAGAUAUCCAUAGAUAUAUUUUGACACACUCUAUAUGUGUAUUACAAUAUAGUGCAUUUGUAUUAUAUUUUGAUGCAAUAUUUCUACUUUUGAACAUCUUAUGUAUUUGAAUAUUGCUUCACAGGGUAAAUAUUAAAAGAUAUUCAUUUGAAUAACAGUACCCAACAUUUAUGCAACUACCUUUUGAAACAAUAGAUCGGAAUAUUAUAUUUGCUACUAUCAUUUCCUUCUUUUUAUAAAAAAACAAUUUUCGGAAAUACUUUUAUGUUGAAUAUGAGCGACAGGUCUUUUGUUACCGGUCUGAAAAGUAUUUUGAUGACCGAUCUGGGAGCUACAAUUUCCCAGGUUAUGAAAAGUUAUACAAAUACUUUCGCUUGUUCUGGACUUGGCGCAAGUUAUUGUGCACAGUAAAGUCCUAUUUUUAACAUGUACGGAACUAGGUGUGGUAUUAAUAAAUUUUUGUUUUUUAAUUAUAUAGAUCGGCUUUAAAAUUAGUACCUUUUAACCACAUUUAGUAGAUCCGACUUAAAACUAAUAAUGAAUCGACGAUUUUUAUUCAUGAUUUAAUGUAAAACUGCUUUAAAACUGUUUUUAAUAUUAGAGAAAUUAUAUAAUGAUUGCCUCAGUCUGUUAAAAUUAUAUAUUUUGAUUUCUAAUAAACAAGUAGAAAACA